AAGUCGUAACAAGGUUUCCGUAGGUGAACCUGCGGAAGGAUCAUUACAAAUACUUGGUUAAAGCCAACAUUUCUUGUGCAAACUAUUGACGCUGCCAGUUAUUCAACACGGCCCUCGGACUGUAUUGACAACUGGCAGCAGACUGUACAUUCAUGCUUGUGCAAUGGGUCAUCCAAUGCACAUUUGUGGGUGUACUGUCAGCGGGCUUUCGCUGCUGUCUUUUAGACAACAUGCGGUAAGUUCGUCUUUUAAACAUAUAUACAUCAGUCUUAAACAUCCGUCAGAAGGCAGUAGCGCAAGUGCGAAAUUUUCUGACAUAAAAGGGUUAAAAACUUUUAGCAACGGAUCUCUAGGCUCUC
Molecule: unclassified non-coding RNA, 359 nt
Filed under: fungal sp.
Lineage: Eukaryota; Fungi
Description: partial internal transcribed spacer region
Rfam family: Eukaryotic small subunit ribosomal RNA (bases 1-46)
Source: RNAcentral